RNAcentral lists this ribosomal RNA (1498 nucleotides) under Stenotrophomonas maltophilia. Its description in RNAcentral is "bacterial LSU rRNA". It matches the Rfam family "Bacterial large subunit ribosomal RNA", at positions 1 to 1552 of the family's 2925-position model. Lineage: Bacteria; Pseudomonadati; Pseudomonadota; Gammaproteobacteria; Lysobacterales; Lysobacteraceae. The record is from RNAcentral.
GUUAUAUGGUCAAGCGAAUAAGCGCACACGGUGGAUGCCUUGGCGGUCAGAGGCGAUGAAGGACGUGGCAGCCUGCGAAAAGUAUCGGGGAGCUGGCAACAAGCUUUGAUCCGGUAAUGUCCGAAUGGGGAAACCCACCCGCUUGCGGGUAUCCUGCAGUGAAUACAUAGCUGCUGGAAGCGAACCUGGUGAACUGAAAUAUCUAAGUAACCAGAGGAAAAGAAAUCAACCGAGAUUCCGUCAGUAGCGACGAGCGAACGCGGACUAGCCCUUAAGCUGGAUUGGUUCUAGGAAAACACUCUGGAAAGAGUGGCCAUAGAAGGUGACAGCCCUGUAUCUGAAAGGGCCAUUCCAGUGAAGACGAGUAGGGCGGGGCACGUGAAACCCUGUCUGAACAUGGGGGGACCAUCCUCCAAGGCUAAAUACUACUGACCGACCGAUAGUGAACCAGUACCGUGAGGGAAAGGCGAAAAGAACCCCGGAGAGGGGAGUGAAAUAGAACCUGAAACCGUGUGCGUACAAGCAGUAGGAGCUCCGCAAGGAGUGACUGCGUACCUUUUGUAUAAUGGGUCAGCGACUUACUGUUCGUGGCAAGCUUAACCGUAUAGGGGAGGCGAAGGGAAACCGAGUCUGAUAAGGGCGCAUAGUCGCGGGCAGUAGACCCGAAACCGGGUGAUCUAGUCAUGCCCAGGGUGAAGGUGCGGUAACACGCACUGGAGGCCCGAACCCACUCCCGUUGCAAAGGUAGGGGAUGAGGUGUGAUUAGGAGUGAAAAGCUAAUCGAACCCGGAGAUAGCUGGUUCUCCUCGAAAGCUAUUUAGGUAGCGCCUCAUAUGUAUCCUCUCGGGGGUAGAGCACUGUUAUGGCUAGGGGGUCAUCGCGACUUACCAAACCAUUGCAAACUCCGAAUACCGAGACGGACUGUAUGGGAGACACACGGCGGGUGCUAACGUCCGUCGUGAAAAGGGAAACAACCCAGACCCACAGCUAAGGUCCCAAAUUCAGUGCUAAGUGGAAAACCAUGUGGAAAGGCACAGACAGCCAGGAGGUUGGCUUAGAAGCAGCCACCCUUUAAAGAAAGCGUAAUAGCUCACUGGUCGAGUCGGUCUGCGGGGAAGAUUUAACGGGGCUAAGCACUGAACCGAAGCUUGGGGUGCAUAACUUUGUUAUGCGCGGUAGAGGAGCGUUCCGUAAGCCUGCGAAGGUGGAUUGAGAAGUCUGCUGGAGGUAUCGGAAGUGCGAAUGCUGACAUGAGUAACGAUAAUGCGGGUGAAAAACCCGCACGCCGAAAGCCCAAGGUUUCCUUGCGCAACGUUAAUCGGCGCAGGGUGAGUCGGCCCCUAAGGCGAGGACGAAAGUCGUAGUCGAUGGGAAGCAGGUUAAUAUUCCUGCACCUCGCGUAAGUGCGAUGGAGGGACGGAGAAGGUUAGGUGUACCGGGCGUUGGUUGUCCCGGGGAAAGGCGGUAGGUUUGGAUCUUUGGCAAAUCCGGGAUCCUU